AAAGCUCUUUCGGCAGGGAAGAUAGUGACGGUACCUGCAGAAGCAGCUGCGGCUAACUACGUGCCAGCAGCCGCGGUAAUACGUAGGGUGCGAGCGUUAAUCGGAAUUACUGGGCGUAAAGCGUGCGCAGGCGGUUCGCUGUGUCCGAUGUGAAAGCCCCGGGCUUAACCUGGGAAUGGCAUUGGAAACUGGCGGGCUUGAGUGCGGCAGAGGGGGGUGGAAUUCCGCGUGUAGCAGUGAAAUGCGUAGAGAUGCGGAGGAACACCGAUGGCGAAGGCAGCCCCCUGGGUCGACACUGACGCUCAGGCACGAAAGCGUGGGGAGCAAACAGGAUUAGAUACCCUGGUAGUCCACGCCCUAAACGAUGUCAACUGGGUGUUGGGGAAGCGAUUCCCUAGUACCGUAGCUAACGCGUGAAGUUGACCGCCUGGGGAGUACGGCCGCAAGGUUAAAACUCAAAGGAAUUGACGG
This 471-nucleotide ribosomal RNA is filed under the name uncultured bacterium. RNAcentral's name for it is "bacterial SSU rRNA". It matches the Rfam family "Bacterial small subunit ribosomal RNA", at positions 427 to 916 of the family's 1533-position model. The record is from RNAcentral.